GCAUUGGUGGUUCAGUGGUAGAGUUCUUUCUUUUCAUGUGGGAGACAUGGGUUCAAGUCCCAGCCAGUGUA
RNAcentral lists this transfer RNA (71 nucleotides) under Loxodonta africana (African savanna elephant). It matches the Rfam family "tRNA". From Rfam's summary of the family: Transfer RNA (tRNA) molecules are approximately 80 nucleotides in length. Their secondary structure includes four short double-helical elements and three loops (D, anti-codon, and T loops). The record is from Rfam by way of RNAcentral. Lineage: Eukaryota; Metazoa; Chordata; Mammalia; Proboscidea; Elephantidae.